GUUUCAUGACCACUGGCUUCACUGGGAGAGAAAGCCAUUUUCCAUGGCUGCAAAAGAGACCCUGAAGGAGGAAGCAGCCCCUGUGGGCCAGGCAGCAGAGCCACAUGGGAGCAGCAGUGACAACACUGCCAGCAGCUGCGGGUAGAGGUCUUAUGUCACUGCAGGUACAUUAUCUAAGUCACAUUAUCAGCUAAAAAUCACCCAGGCUUGUCCAGACGAGAGGGCAGAAAAUUAUGCGGUGAAAGAGAAGGAAGAUAAUU
This is a long non-coding RNA of Talpa occidentalis (Iberian mole), 260 nucleotides long. RefSeq lists it as uncharacterized. The record is from RefSeq and is a predicted model, not a curated record. NCBI's taxonomy places the organism in Eukaryota, Metazoa, Chordata, Mammalia, Eulipotyphla, Talpidae. The transcript has 3 exons.